Long non-coding RNA from Oncorhynchus keta (chum salmon), 499 nucleotides. RefSeq lists it as uncharacterized. The transcript has 4 exons. Lineage: Eukaryota; Metazoa; Chordata; Actinopteri; Salmoniformes; Salmonidae. The record is from RefSeq and is a predicted model, not a curated record.
UGUGUUGGUGAACCCAGGUGUUGGUUACCUGUUGGUGACCAGGUGUGUUGGUGAACCCAGGUGUGUUGGUGAACCCAGGUGUUGGUGAACCCAGGUGUUGGUUACCUGUUGGUGACCAGGUGUGUUGGUGAACCCAGGUGUGUUGGUGAACCCAGGUGUUGGUGAACCCAGGUGUUGGUUACCUGUUGGUGACCAGGUGUGUUGGUGAACCCAGGUGUUGGUUACCUGUUGGUGACCAGGUGUGUUGGUGAACCCAGGUGUUGGUUACCUGUUGGUGACCAGGUGUGUUGGUGAACCCAGGUGUUGGUGAACCCAGGUGUGUUGGUGAACCCAGGUGUUGGUGAACCCAGGUGUUGGUUACCUGUUGGUGACCAGGUGUGUUGGUGAACCCAGGUGUUGGUGAACCCAGGUGUUGGUUACCUGUUGGUGACCAGGUGUGUUGGUGAACCCAGGUGUUGGUGAACCCAGGUGUGUUGGUGAACCCAGGUGUUGGUGAACC